UUUAGUUCAACUGUUGUACGCCAUCAGAACCUAAACAUGAGCUAGUUGUAAUUUAUUUGUAAACAAUGUAAACAAACACUGUAGCUAUAGGCCCAAAACAUAGUUCAAACUAUAAUUUUGAUAUCAGGGAUGGUCAGUCCUUGCAUAAAUAGCUCUUUCUACGAAUUUGAUUGUGGUAACAUUUCUCCAGGCCAAUCUCUCAGCUUUUUAUCAAAACAAAGGUGCUGGACAAGAUGUUGGCCGCGGCUGCAUCCUUGUCUCGAUUGGGGGAAAAAAUAUUAUGCUUGAUUGUGGGAUGCACAUGGGUUUCAAUGAUAGACGAUUCCCAGAUUUCUACAUAACACAAGGACAGCAUGAUAAUGCACGGUCGCAUGCACGGCUCCAUGUAGCAAAGAUGUGUACACAAUUCCUCGAAGCUGAAAAUGUCCCAGUUCUUCCAUGGCCCGCAUACUCACCAGACAUGUCACCCAUUAAGCAUGUUUGGGAUGCUCUGGAUCGAUGUGUACGACAGCGUGUUCCAGUUCCCGGCAAUAUCCAGCAACUUCGCAUAGCCGUUGAAGAGGAGUCGGAUGACAUUCCACAGGACACAAUCAACAGCCUAAUCAACUCUGUUUAAAGGAGAUGUCACACUGCAUGAGGCAAAUGGUGAUCACACCAGAAACUGUCUGGUUUUCUGAUCCAUUGACCUUUUUUCUAAGGUAACUUUGACCAACAGAUUCAUAUCGCUAUUCCCAGUCAUGUGAAAUCCAUAAAUUAAUUUAAUUCAAUUGACUGAUUUCCUUACGUGAACUGUAACUCAGUUAAAUCGUUUUGGUUCAGUAUAGAUUUAUUCGCCACACUGGGUUUUGCAGCUGCAAAAACACACAUACAAUUCACACAAGCAUAUAUUUAUACCUUCCAAUGUGGCGGAGUCACCUUGUAUUUCUAGGAUAAACAAUCAGUCUCUGUUGGUAGGCAAGAACUGAGUCUGUUCCUCCUAUUGGUGUUAUCGUGGGCCAACCUGAGUCCAGAACCUUCAUGGGCAGGGAUGUGUGUAUGAGAAUACCUCAGUUUGAGUAUUGUUGGGAUGGACACCUCUAGCCCCCCUCUGAGGUUUCUUCUCCAACUUUGUCCUCACCUCCACGUCUCUCUUUGCCCUAGUUCCACAGAAAAUCGCCUGACCUUACCAGGAACUGAGAGUCGACUUUGGCUCUUCAUCUACUUCCUUUAGAAAUAUGAAUAUAAAAGGAGUUCACUCACUGCUUUAGAAUGUAGUGAAAUACUGGUAAAUUCAAGAGGGUGCUAAUAAAUGAAUGUCUAA
Non-coding RNA from Oncorhynchus mykiss (rainbow trout), 1300 nucleotides. The record is from RefSeq and is a predicted model, not a curated record. Lineage: Eukaryota; Metazoa; Chordata; Actinopteri; Salmoniformes; Salmonidae.